GUAAACGGCGGCCGUAACUAUAACGGUCCUAAGGUAGCGAAAUUCCUUGUCGGGUAAGUUCCGACCUGCACGAAUGGCGUAAUGAUGGCCAGGCUGUCUCCACCCGAGACUCAGUGAAAUUGAACUCGCUGUGAAGAUGCAGUGUACCCGCGGCAAGACGGAAAGACCCCGUGAACCUUUACUAUAGCUUGACACUGAACAUUGAGCCUUGAUGUGUAGGAUAGGUGGGAGGCUUUGAAGUGUGGACGCCAGUCUGCAUGGAGCCAACCUUGAAAUACCACCCUUUAACGUUUGAUGUUCUAACCUAGGCCCAUAAACUGGGUCGGGGACCGUGUCUGGUGGGUAGUUUGACUGGGGCGGUCUCCUCCUAAAGAGUAACGGAGGAGCACGAAGGUUGGCUAAGCAUGGUCGGACAUCAUGCGGUUAGUGCAAAGGCAUAAGCCAGCUUGACUGCGAGAGUGACGGCUCGAGCAGGUACGAAAGUAGGUCUUAGUGAUCCGGUGGUUCUGAAUGGAAGGGCCAUCGCUCAACGGAUAAAAGGUACUCCGGGGAUAACAGGCUGAUACCGCCCAAGAGUUCAUAUCGACGGCGGUGUUUGGCACCUCGAUGUCGGCUCAUCACAUCCUGGGGCUGAAGUAGGUCCCAAGGGUAUGGCUGUUCGCCAUUUAAAGUGGUACGCGAGCUGGGUUUAGAACGUCGUGAGACAGUUCGGUCCCUAUCUGCCGUGGGCGUUGGAAGAUUGAGAGGGGUUGCUCCUAGUACGAGAGGACCGGAGUGAACGCACCACUGGUGUUCGGGUUGUCAUGCCAAUGGCAUUGCCCGGUAGCUAAGUGCGGAAGAGAUAACCGCUGAAAGCAUCUAAGCGGGAAACUUGCCUCGAGAUGAGUCUUCCCUGUCGCUUUAAGCGACCUAAAGGAACGUUUAAGACUAAGACGUUGAUAGGCUGGGUGUGUAAGCGUAGCGAUACGUUGAGCUAACCAGUACUAAUGAACCGUGAGGCUUAACCUG
Molecule: ribosomal RNA, 1008 nt
Filed under: Proteus mirabilis
Lineage: Bacteria; Pseudomonadati; Pseudomonadota; Gammaproteobacteria; Enterobacterales; Morganellaceae
Description: partial 23S ribosomal RNA
Rfam family: Bacterial large subunit ribosomal RNA
Source: RNAcentral